UGAGCAAUCUGCCCUUCUCAUCGGAAUAAGCGUUGGAAACGACGUCUAAUGCCGAAUACGACCUCCUUUCGCAUGAUCGGAGGUGGAAAGCUCCGGCGGAGAAGGAUGAGCUCGCGGCCUAUCAGCUAGUUGGUGUGGGUAAUGGCCCACCAAGGCGACGACGGGUAGCCGGCCUGAGAGGGUGACCCGGCCACACUGGGACUGAGACACGGCCCAGACUCCGUACGGGAGCAG
This 234-nucleotide ribosomal RNA is filed under the name uncultured bacterium. RNAcentral's name for it is "partial 16S ribosomal RNA". It matches the Rfam family "Bacterial small subunit ribosomal RNA", at positions 118 to 347 of the family's 1533-position model. The record is from RNAcentral.